Molecule: unclassified non-coding RNA, 2470 nt
Filed under: Hevea brasiliensis (rubber tree)
Lineage: Eukaryota; Viridiplantae; Streptophyta; Magnoliopsida; Malpighiales; Euphorbiaceae
Source: RNAcentral
GAAUAUUAUCAGAAAGCGCGCCUUUCGAGUCCGCCACUACUAGGCUGGCACUAGAAGGAGAAGAAAACGUACAUAAUACGCGAUAUAGAUUACCCUAUCAUAUAAGCCAUUUUGAUGCAUGACAGUGAUUGGCUAAAUCGAUGAGAUUUAUAUUGUACGGAGAGGAUUCAAUGUUGGAGUAGGGUUCAUGAUAGUCCCUGUUUCCUCUGACUCUUGCCAAAGAAGAUUGCGCACCCGCGUAAUUUUUGAAUUGUAUACAGUACAGAGAAGAAGACAGAGUUAUAAAAAAAAUUUAUCUAAUAAAAGAAGAGAAGUAGUGGGUGUGAUUGUGUGUCUGGUCUGGCGCUUGCUGGGUGGUGGUGGUGGUGGUGGUGAUUGAUGAAGAGGAAAACCCUAAAGGGAAGCAAUAGGAGGAGGAGAGAGAGCAGUAAAAUGAAGGGCACUUUAGCAAGGCACUUGCAGGUUCAGAUGGGACAAAUCUCUGUGAUUCCUCUCCAGUACCAGCAAUCGUCUUCUUCCACCGCAGCCGUGUCUAAUUCUUCUUCUCGCUUCCAGAACGUUCUAGAUUCUGAAGGGUCCGACCCACAGUUCCAUUCUUCAACGGAAAACCCUAGCAUUGGCGACGUCGAUGUUGAUGAGAAAGAUUUCAUUCUCAGUCAGGACUUCUUCUGCACUCCAGAUUAUAUAACACCAGUGGAUCAAAAUUUACUGAACAGCUUUGGUCACAACAAGGAAAACAUGUUAUGCCCUGAAUCACCAGAGAAGCUAAACACUAUUAAAACCAAAAAACGUAGACAGGAUGUUAUCUUAGCCAAUCCUCUCAGCCCUACCUUGUCUGACCAGCAACAAAAUUUGGAGAUUGCCAAUGAUACUUUUGGUACAGAUGAAGUGAAGAUUGAGAUAACACCAGUAACUGGAACUCAAAGAUGCCAAAAUUAUGUGUCACAAUCUGCUGUUGCCUUGCGCUGUCGGGUUAUGCCCCCUCCUUGCAUAAAGAACCCAUAUCUAAUGGAUUCCUCGGAAGUGGAUGUAGAUCCAUAUGGCAAUCAAAGAUCAAAAUGUGCAGUUUUUUUCUCCGCAAUUGUUGGUGGGGAUGGCCUUUCUCGCUAUCACACAGAUUUUCAUGAGAUGCAGGUAUCCGUCCUGGAUCUAGGAAUUCUCAAUUCUUUCAGAAUCAUCUUUUAGUGGUUGUGUAAAUUAUUGGGCUUUGCUUCCCUUUAUAGCAAAUUGGCACUGGAAAUUUCAGCCGUGUUUUCAAAGUAUUGAAGAGAAUUGAUGGUUGCUUGUAUGCUGUGAAACAUAGCACAAGGCAGUUACAUCAAGAUGCAGAGAAGUAGUUUCUAUACGCAGUUUUAGAUACUUCCAUUUUUUAUUCAAUCAACUAGCUUAGACUGAACUGUUAGCAUUUUUCAGGAGGAAAGCUUUGAUGGAGGUUCAGGCUCUAGCAGCUUUAGGAUGUCAUGAAAACAUUGUUGGAUAUUACUCCUCUUGGUUUGAAAAUGAGCAACUCUACAUUCAAAUGGAACUCUGUGAUUGCAGCUUAUCCAUUAAUAAAUCUUCCAAAUCAUUCACAGAGGACAAAGUGUUAGAAGUCUUGCAUCAGAUUGCUAAGGCAUUGCAGUUCAUCCAUGAAAGAGGAAUUGCUCACUUAGAUGUAAAACCUGAUAAUAUUUAUGUCAAGAAUGGAGUUUAUAAACUUGGUGACUUUGGAUGUGCAACACUCCUUAAUCAGAGCUUGCCAAUUGAAGAGGGUGAUGCACGUUAUAUGCCUCAAGAAAUCUUGAAUGAGAAUUACAAUCAUCUUGACAAAGUUGACAUCUUUUCCUUUGGAGCUGCUAUUUAUGAGCUUAUCAGAGGGUUACCUUUGUCCCAAUCAGGAUCUCAAUUUUUUAACCUUAGGGAGGGGAGACUGCCAAUUCUUCCUGGCCACUCAUUGCAAUUUCAGAACUUACUCAAGGCCAUGCUAGAUCCAGAUGCAGUUCGGAGGCCUUCUGCUAAAGAAAUACUAGAGAGUUCAAUAUUUGACAAGCUUCAAAGAAAACUCAAUCAAGUGAAAUCUUAGUUGGAUUCUUGGGAAAGGAAUUUUUGUAUAUGGUGCCUCUAAUGAUCAGCUGCUGUAGCUAAGCGAGCUGUGCCAACACACUGAAUGGACAAUUUUGUAACAACAGUUCCUUCUUCAGUACAUUCACCAAUUUUUCUCCCGGUCAAAGUGCAGGUGUUGUAGAGUUAAGAGGAAGGUUGUCCUCAAAUAAAUCUGUUUAUGGACUGGAGGUAUGCAAUUUAUUAAAGUACCCUCUUUAUUUUUAGUAAUCAGUGUACAAAAUUUGGCAAUGGAAUGUGAAUCAGACAGGAAGGAGUAUCAAAUUAAAAUUGUUGAGAACUUGAGCUAACUAGCAAAUAGCCAAAUACAGAUGUUAGAUUACUUUUGCUCUCUAAUCUGGUUCAGAUAACCAUUUGAUUACAACAAAAU